AGAGCGAACGCUGGCGGCAGGCCUAACACAUGCAAGUCGAGCGCCCGUAGCAAUACGGGAGCGGCAGACGGGAUAGUAACACGUGGGAACGCGCCCUUCGGUUCGGAAUAACUCAGGGAAACUUGAGCUAAUACCGAAUACGCCCUUACGGGGAAAGAUUUAUUGCCGAAGGAACGGCCCGCGUCCGAUUAGCUAGUUGGUGAGGUAAUGGCUCACCAAGGCUACGAUCGGUAGCUGGUCUGAGAGGAUGACCAGCAUCACUGGGACUGAGACACGGCCCAGACUCCUACGGGAGGCAGCAGUGGGGAAUAUGGACAAUGGGCGCAAGCCUGAUCCAGCCAUGCCGCGUGGAUGAUGAGGCCUUAGGGUUGUAAAGUCCUUUAACGGGAGAUAAUGACGGUACCGUAGAAUAAGCCCCGGCUAACUUCGUGCCAGCAGCCGC
RNAcentral lists this ribosomal RNA (442 nucleotides) under uncultured bacterium. Its description in RNAcentral is "SSU rRNA". It matches the Rfam family "Bacterial small subunit ribosomal RNA", at positions 26 to 518 of the family's 1533-position model. The record is from RNAcentral.